AUGAAAAUCUACAGUAAUUUAUAAUACACAAUUUUGUCAUAAAAAAUUUUUUUCUACAAACAAAUAAUAUGAAUUCAUCAACCGGCAUUUAUAUAUUCGCGCGGGCAACAUUUUAUCUUUUCAAAAAUUCAAAUGAAUCUUUUGUCUCGGGUUAUAAAAACGGCAGUACUGGUCGCCGCCGCGUCAUUCAUUUUUUGAAUUUUGUUUCGAGAAAGUAGUUAACGCACAUCACAUUUUUUUAUUACGGUCUCUAAUACGGUGUCUAAUAUAUAUUUAAGCAUCGUAACCGUAAUCCCUAAAAUUAGUGUGAUCCUUGCUUAGCGUUGUCUCGAUUGAACAAAUAUAAUUAUAGUGUCAGUGUUUAUCGCCCCCAAACUGGGGUUCGACGUUUGGGUCACCAAUUUUGGAAAUUUACAUCCA
RNAcentral lists this unclassified non-coding RNA (420 nucleotides) under Melitaea cinxia (Glanville fritillary). RNAcentral's name for it is "misc RNA ENSMCXG00005005810.1". The record is from RNAcentral. Lineage: Eukaryota; Metazoa; Arthropoda; Insecta; Lepidoptera; Nymphalidae.